GGAGACAGCCGCCAGGCGGCGCCUGGAGCUAGAACUAAAGCGGUGAUCGUUAGCGACCUAGGGGCGGAGGGUUUGAAGGGCCCUUGGCAGGUGGAGGUGGUCUCUAAUUUAAGCAGGGAACGACGCGACCUGCCCCCUUAUUAGGUCGGAAAACCUAGACGUCCAGAGUCUUGCUCUGAGCUCUCAACUGAAGAAGGGGAGAAUUUGCCUACCAGAAGUUAUUUGGCUAAGGCCCACGUGGAAGCUUAAAAAACAGGAGAGCUGAGUAUCUGCAAGAAUUAAUUUGUGCGAUUCCCUCUGAGUAGAAAAGGAACACGGUGUUAUAAGUUUUGCUGAACGAAUAGAUUUAAGGUGUCCCUUUAGCUAAGAGCAAUGUGGUCUAGUUGUGUGUAGCGAGAAAAAAGGGUAAGGUUUUUAAUGGUUUGUCCAAAGUAGCCCCACUUUUAUGUUCCACCCGAGUCUCCGUAGGAAACGCAACCAGUAGUGAAAAUGAACAGAUGUGAAAACCAGGGUGGAACCGAAUAUUCCCAUUCUCAGACCUUUUGUGAUUAAAUUUAUCUCUGAAUUGUUCCCUAUGGACUCUUCUGAAAAUGAAACGUUAUUCUCAUCCC
RNAcentral lists this long non-coding RNA (611 nucleotides) under Homo sapiens (human). RNAcentral describes it as "non-protein coding lnc-TAOK3-8:1". The record is from RNAcentral. Lineage: Eukaryota; Metazoa; Chordata; Mammalia; Primates; Hominidae.